Molecule: long non-coding RNA, 816 nt
Filed under: Homo sapiens (human)
Lineage: Eukaryota; Metazoa; Chordata; Mammalia; Primates; Hominidae
Description: HSALNT0357904
Source: RNAcentral
GGGAGGGGGUGUGUUUGUGUACAUGAAGGGGGGCCUUUGACACUCUUCACCCCGCCCCUCCCUUGCUUAGUCGCUCGGCUGGCCCGGCUCACCUUCGGGGUGAAGGCUACCAGCGAGCGUUAUAGCAGACGACUUUAAUAAAUGCAGGCGGCAGCAGGAACUCUGGGAACUUGGGUGCCCUUGCCUGGCAGUAAGGGUUGAAUUAUCCGGAUCUGAAAUACUUUACAGAGCCGAGGGGUGAUAGGCUCUGCAAAAGCACUUUUUGCCCCUCUCCUUUAUGCCAAUACUCGCUGACUGUGCACACAAGUCAUAUUCAGUAUUAAAUACAAACCGGUCUGUAAUUCAAUGGCUCUAGCAAGACGCCUCUGAGAGGGCCAGGUGGCGGGUGCAAGUUGCUCAUUAACCCUUUAGAGUCGCAGUUUGCAGAUCUGAGUUAGAUCCCCGGCUUUGAGGUCCUUCAGUUGCCCUCCUCCCCCACCUCCCCCCGCCACUGCGAGAAAAAUGUGCAAAGAGAAGGAAAUUUGCACAUCAAACGAGGGUAAGAAGGAAGAAGAGCUAAUUCUCUUUUGAUGGGAAGUUUAGAGAGGGAGGCGAGAGACUGGCGUUUAGAAAUUAGAUCAGGGGUGGAGGGAAGAGGGAAAUGACCAUCCGAUAAUCAAACCAUUUAAUGUUGUUCUUUGAAUCAGGGCAAUCGCGGCGGUAGAUGAACUUGAUUAGGCAGACGCGUGAGAUCAAAGUGGCCGGGACCAAAGCGGACAGGGUCCAACGUGCCAGGUCAGUCGCCUUUCCCCGGUUCUCCCUUCUCAGUGGUGGGCU